GAAGCAUUAGUAUAAUCGUACUACAUUACCUUGUCGAGGUAAAACUGUAGGUUCAAUUCCUACAUGCCUCA
RNAcentral lists this transfer RNA (71 nucleotides) under Congrogadus subducens (carpet eel blenny). RNAcentral's name for it is "tRNA-Asp". It matches the Rfam family "tRNA". From Rfam's summary of the family: Transfer RNA (tRNA) molecules are approximately 80 nucleotides in length. The record is from RNAcentral. Lineage: Eukaryota; Metazoa; Chordata; Actinopteri; Pseudochromidae.